UACGUAGGGGGCUAGCGUUGUCCGGAAUCAUUGGGCGUAAAGCGCGUGUAGGCGGUCCGGUAAGUCCGCUGUGAAAGUCGAGGGCUCAACCCUCGAAUGCCGGUGGAUACUGUCGGGCUAGAGUGCGGAAGAGGCGAGUGGAAUUCCUGGUGUAGCGGUGAAAUGCGCAGAUAUCAGGAGGAACACCUAUUGCGAAGGCAGCUCGCUGGGCCGGAACUGACGCUGAGGAGCGAAAGCGUGGGUAGCAAACAGG
RNAcentral lists this ribosomal RNA (253 nucleotides) under uncultured bacterium. Its description in RNAcentral is "partial 16S ribosomal RNA". It matches the Rfam family "Bacterial small subunit ribosomal RNA", at positions 524 to 776 of the family's 1533-position model. The record is from RNAcentral.